GUUCUUUUUGCUGGACUCCUUUUUGCUCAAAGCAUUCUUCCAUGUGCCCUGGACCUCCUCCACCUUCAACUUUGCUGAGCUCUGUUGGCCCUGAUUCCUUGUGUCUCCAGACUGAACUCCAGCACCACCACCUGCUGUGUCUUGCUCAGAUGGACCUUGAACUGAUAAUCCCCUCUGCCUCAGCUUCCCAAGGAUCUGAGAUUACAGGAAUUGUCAGGACCACAUGCUUGCCAGGAAGGUGCUGUGCCGCUGAGCUAUAGUCUGAUCUUCAUCUUAUAGGCCCAUCACAUCCAAAAUCCUUCAGAGAUACUCCAAGUCUACAAAUCAGCUAAGUUGAUGAAGACAGAAAUCUGAUCUUAAGAGAGACGGAUUUGAAAGUUUCAAAGAAUGUUUUUAGGCAAAACACAUUAUAUCACCCAUUAAAAAAUACAACAGACUGGGGCUUGCCUGUGCCUUUCUAAAGUGGCCCAUCCUUUAAUCAAUAAA
Long non-coding RNA from Cavia porcellus (domestic guinea pig), 486 nucleotides. RefSeq lists it as uncharacterized. The transcript has 4 exons. The record is from RefSeq and is a predicted model, not a curated record. Lineage: Eukaryota; Metazoa; Chordata; Mammalia; Rodentia; Caviidae.